This 1167-nucleotide ribosomal RNA is filed under the name Christiangramia forsetii KT0803. Its description in RNAcentral is "bacterial SSU rRNA". It matches the Rfam family "Bacterial small subunit ribosomal RNA", at positions 1 to 1166 of the family's 1533-position model. Lineage: Bacteria; Pseudomonadati; Bacteroidota; Flavobacteriia; Flavobacteriales; Flavobacteriaceae. The record is from RNAcentral.
AUGAAGAGUUUGAUCCUGGCUCAGGAUGAACGCUAGCGGCAGGCCUAACACAUGCAAGUCGAACGGUAACAGGGAUUGCUUGCAAUCCGCUGACGAGUGGCGCACGGGUGCGUAACGCGUAUACAAUCUGCCUUUAAGCGGGGAAUAGCCCAUGGAAACGUGGAUUAAUACCCCAUAGUAUUAUGAUUUCACCUGGGAUUAUAAUUAAACAUUUAUGGCUUAAAGAUGAGUAUGCGUCCUAUUAGUUAGUUGGUAAGGUAACGGCUUACCAAGACGGCGAUAGGUAGGGGUCCUGAGAGGGAGAUCCCCCACACUGGUACUGAGACACGGACCAGACUCCUACGGGAGGCAGCAGUGAGGAAUAUUGGACAAUGGAGGCAACUCUGAUCCAGCCAUGCCGCGUGCAGGAAGACGGCCCUAUGGGUUGUAAACUGCUUUUAUACGGGAAGAACCACAUCUACGUGUAGAUGCUUGACGGUACCGUAUGAAUAAGGACCGGCUAACUCCGUGCCAGCAGCCGCGGUAAUACGGAGGGUCCAAGCGUUAUCCGGAAUCAUUGGGUUUAAAGGGUCCGUAGGCGGAAUAAUAAGUCAGUGGUGAAAGUCUGCAGCUCAACUGUAGAAUUGCCAUUGAUACUGUUGUUCUUGAAUUAUUAUGAAGUGGUUGGAAUAAGUAGUGUAGCGGUGAAAUGCAUAGAUAUUACUUAGAACACCUAUUGCGAAGGCAGAUCACUAAUAAUAUAUUGACGCUGAGGGACGAAAGCGUAGGUAGCGAACAGGAUUAGAUACCCUGGUAGUCUACGCCGUAAACGAUGGUUACUAGCUGUCCGGCCUAAUUGAGGGCUGGGUGGUUAAGCGAAAGUGAUAAGUAACCCACCUGGGGAGUACGUUCGCAAGAAUGAAACUCAAAGGAAUUGACGGGGGCCCGCACAAGCGGUGGAGCAUGUGGUUUAAUUCGAUGAUACGCGAGGAACCUUACCAGGGCUUAAAUGCAGUCUGACAGGUCUGGAAACAGACUUUUCUUCGGACAGAUUGCAAGGUGCUGCAUGGUUGUCGUCAGCUCGUGCCGUGAGGUGUCAGGUUAAGUCCUAUAACGAGCGCAACCCCUGUGGUUAGUUGCCAGCGAGUAAUGUCGGGAACUCUAGCCAGACUGCCGGUGCAAACCGCG